UACGUAGGGGGCAAGCGUUGUCCGGAAUCAUUGGGCGUAAAGGGCUCGUAGGCGGUUUGUCGCGUCGGGAGUGAAAUCCUACGGCUUAACUGUGGGCUUGCUUUCGAUACGGGCAGACUAGAGGUAUGCAGGGGAGAACGGAAUUCCUGGUGUAGCGGUGAAAUGCGCAGAUAUCAGGAGGAACACCGGUGGCGAAGGCGGUUCUCUGGGCAUGAUCUGACGCUGAGGAGCGAAAGUGUGGGGAGCGAACAGG
This 253-nucleotide ribosomal RNA is filed under the name uncultured bacterium. RNAcentral describes it as "partial 16S ribosomal RNA". It matches the Rfam family "Bacterial small subunit ribosomal RNA", at positions 524 to 776 of the family's 1533-position model. The record is from RNAcentral.